Molecule: ribosomal RNA, 567 nt
Filed under: Triticum aestivum (bread wheat)
Lineage: Eukaryota; Viridiplantae; Streptophyta; Magnoliopsida; Poales; Poaceae
Description: partial small subunit ribosomal RNA
Source: RNAcentral
AUGGGUGUUGGCUUCAACAAUUCGCAUUGGUCUCAAACCAAUGACAUGCAUUUCAAAAACCAUGAGUUCGAGGUGGACGAGGAUGGUGAGGGCAUUGUCGACGCACCGAAAGGAAGAGGAGGCAACUACACCAACGACGAAGAAGUCUUGCUAUGCAAAACUUGGUUGGACGUGUCGAGGGAUCCAUCCGUUGGAGGUGAUCAAAGUAGAGAUGCUUAUUGGCUCCGGAUAAAAGAACACUUUGAUCUACGCAACGUGAGUGGAAUUGACCACUCUGAUCGAUCUCUUCACUCCCGGUGGUCGAUAAUCAAUAAGGAUUGUCAACAAUGGGCGGCCGCACAAAAGGCGGUUGACAAGUUGAACCCAAGUGGCACUAAUGAUGAAGAUAGGGUAAGUGCCAUUUCAUCAUUCAUGUUCAUCAUGCUUGUUGUUGGUGUUUCUUGUGCUAACUUGUUUUGUUUUCAUGUAGUUAAAUAUUGCACAAAGCUUGUUCAAAGGAGAGGAGAAGAGGACCAAGAAGGGGGAGAUCAAGAAAGGAAGGUCAUUUACCUUGCCUCAUUGCUAUGA